CCUACGGGCGGCUGCAGUGAGGAAUUUUUCACAAUGGACGAAAGUCUGAUGGAGCAAUACCACGUGAACGAUGAAGGUCUUCUGAUUGUAAAGUUCUUUUAUUUAGGAAAAAAAGCGUGCUAGGAAAUGAGCGCGCCUUGAUGGUACUAAUUGAAUAAGUGACAGCUAACUAUGUGCCAGCAGCUGCGGUAAAACAUAGGUCACGAGCAUUAUCCGGAUUUAUUGGGCGUAAAGGAAGCGUAGGCGGGGAGGUUGAUCCAUUGUUAAAAGCAUUUGCUUAACAAAUGUGUGCAUUGGAGAUCGCCUCCCUAGAGUUAAUCAGGGGGUACUGGAAUUCAAUGUGUAGCGGUGGAAUGCGUAGAUAUAUUGAGGAACACCAGAGGCUAAGGCGAGUGCCUAGGAUAUAACUGACGCUGAGGCUUGAAAGCGUGGGGAGCAAAUGGGAUUAGAUACCCCGGUAGUC
This 463-nucleotide ribosomal RNA is filed under the name uncultured bacterium. Its description in RNAcentral is "bacterial SSU rRNA". It matches the Rfam family "Bacterial small subunit ribosomal RNA", at positions 338 to 795 of the family's 1533-position model. The record is from RNAcentral.